This 460-nucleotide ribosomal RNA is filed under the name uncultured bacterium. Its description in RNAcentral is "partial 16S ribosomal RNA". It matches the Rfam family "Bacterial small subunit ribosomal RNA", at positions 338 to 795 of the family's 1533-position model. The record is from RNAcentral.
CCUACGGGUGGCAGCAGUGAGGAAUAUUGGUCAAUGGGCUUACGCCUGAACCAGCCAAGUCGCGUGAGGGAAGACUGCCCUAUGGGUUGUAAACCUCUUUUGUCAGGGAGAAACGCCGGCUACGUGUAGCCGGACUGAGAGUACCUGAAGAAAAAGCAUCGGCUAACUCCGUGCCAGCAGCCGCGGUAAUACGGAGGAUGCGAGCGUUAUCCGGAUUAAUGGGGGUUAAAGGGUGCGUAGGCGAAAGGCCAAGUCAGCGGUAAAAUCGCGGGGCCCAACCCCGCACCGACGUUGAAACUGGCGUUCUUGAGUGGGCGAGAGGUAUGCGGAAUGCGUGGUGUAGCGGUGAAAUGCGUAGAUAUCACGCAGAACUCCGAUUGCGAAGGCAGCAUACCGGCGCCCAACUGACGCUGAGGCACGAAAGCGUGGGUAUCGAACAGGAUUAGAUACCCCAGUAGUC